GUACCUCUUAUAGCUCAGCUGGAAGAGCGUGGGACUGUAAUUGUUAUUCGCCAGGAAACCCUGGUAUCCCAAGGUCCGCGGUUCGAUCCCGCGUGAGAGGAG
RNAcentral lists this transfer RNA (102 nucleotides) under Penicillium egyptiacum. Its description in RNAcentral is "tRNA-Tyr". It matches the Rfam family "tRNA". From Rfam's summary of the family: Transfer RNA (tRNA) molecules are approximately 80 nucleotides in length. Their secondary structure includes four short double-helical elements and three loops (D, anti-codon, and T loops). Lineage: Eukaryota; Fungi; Ascomycota; Eurotiomycetes; Eurotiales; Aspergillaceae. The record is from RNAcentral.